UGAGCUCAGGCAAGGCUACCCGCUGAACUUAAGC
This 34-nucleotide ribosomal RNA is filed under the name Tetradesmus obliquus. RNAcentral describes it as "partial 28S ribosomal RNA". The record is from RNAcentral. Lineage: Eukaryota; Viridiplantae; Chlorophyta; Chlorophyceae; Sphaeropleales; Scenedesmaceae.